AAGUUGAUGAUGGGAUGGACAUUCCUGAAGGAAAAGGUAUAAAGGUGAGAGAGAACAAAGGUUAAAAAAUAAGUAUAGUAGGUUAGAAAGAUGUUAACAAUAGCAAAACAGAAAAAGGAAGUAGAUAAGAUUCAAAAGAGAGGAGAAAAGCUUGGUAGAGUUGGUUACAAUGAUGAGAAUAAGAAGAAUAAGUAUGCUAGGGACAUACUAAGGCAUGUUUAAAACAAGUUAUGGUGAGAUGAUAGAUUCAAGGAGUAGUAGAAUCACAAUUUAAGUGUUAAUGUGUCAGGAAGUACGUCACAUAAUAAGAAGUUUUAGGAAGAAGUCAAGAUAUUUCCAUUCCAGAGAAGGA
This 352-nucleotide unclassified non-coding RNA is filed under the name Hevea brasiliensis (rubber tree). Lineage: Eukaryota; Viridiplantae; Streptophyta; Magnoliopsida; Malpighiales; Euphorbiaceae. The record is from RNAcentral.